GACGAACGCUGGCGGCGUGCCUAAUACAUGCAAGUUGAGCGCUGAAGGUUGGUACUUGUACCAACUGGAUGAGCAGCGAACGGGUGAGUAACGCGUGGGGAAUCUGCCUUUGAGCGGGGGACAACAUUUGGAAACGAAUGCUAAUACCGCAUAAAAACUUUAAACACAAGUUUUAAGUUUGAAAGAUGCAAUUGCAUCACUCAAAGAUGAUCCCGCGUUGUAUUAGCUAGUUGGUGAGGUAAAGGCUCACCAAGGCGAUGAUACAUAGCCGACCUGAGAGGGUGAUCGGCCACAUUGGGACUGAGACACGGCCCAACCUCCUACGGGCGGCAGCAGUAGGGAAUCUUCGGCAAUGGACGAAAGUCUGACCGAGCAACGCCGCGUGAGUGAAGAAGGUUUUCGGAUCGUAAAACUCUGUUGGUAGAGAAGAACGUUGGUGAGAGUGGAAAGCUCAUCAAGUGACGGUAACUACCCAGAAAGGGACGGCUAACUACGUG
This 497-nucleotide ribosomal RNA is filed under the name uncultured bacterium. RNAcentral describes it as "partial 16S ribosomal RNA". It matches the Rfam family "Bacterial small subunit ribosomal RNA", at positions 28 to 507 of the family's 1533-position model. The record is from RNAcentral.